GGUGAGUAACACGUGGGUAACCUGCCUGUAAGACUGGGAUAACUCCGGGAAACCGGGGCUAAUACCGGAUGGUUGUUUGAACCGCAUGGUUCAAACAUAAAAGGUGGCUUCGGCUACCACUUACAGAUGGACCCGCGGCGCAUUAGCUAGUUGGUGAGGUAACGGCUCACCAAGGCAACGAUGCGUAGCCGACCUGAGAGGGUGAUCGGCCACACUGGGACUGAGACACGGCCCANACUCCUACGGGAGGCAGCAGUAGGGAAUCUUCCGCAAUGGACGAAAGUCUGACGGAGCAACGCCGCGUGAGUGAUGAAGGUUUUCGGAUCGUAAAGCUCUGUUGUUAGGGAAGAACAAGUACCGUUCGAACAGGGCGGUACCUUGACGGUACCUAACCAGAAAGCCACGGCUAACUACGUGCCAGCAGCCGCGGUAAUACGUAGGUGGCAAGUGUUGUCCGGAAUUAUUGGGCGUAAAGGGCUCGCGGGCGGUUUCUUAAGUCUGAUGUGAAAGCCCCCGGCUCAACCGGGGANGGUCAUUGGAAACUGGGGAACUUGAGUGCANAAGANGAGAGUGGAAUUCCACGUGUANCGGUGAAAUGCGUANAGAUGUGGAGGAACACCAGUGGCGAANGCGACUCUCUGGUCUGUAACUGACGCUGANGAGCGAAAGCGUGNNGAGCGAACAGGAUUAGAUACCCUGGUAGUCCACGCC
Molecule: ribosomal RNA, 711 nt
Filed under: uncultured bacterium
Lineage: Bacteria
Description: bacterial SSU rRNA
Rfam family: Bacterial small subunit ribosomal RNA
Source: RNAcentral